RNAcentral lists this ribosomal RNA (447 nucleotides) under uncultured Eubacteriales bacterium. Its description in RNAcentral is "bacterial SSU rRNA". It matches the Rfam family "Bacterial small subunit ribosomal RNA", at positions 932 to 1378 of the family's 1533-position model. Lineage: Bacteria; Bacillati; Bacillota; Clostridia; Eubacteriales. The record is from RNAcentral.
GGGGAGCAUGUGGUUUAAUUNGAAGCAACGCGAAGAACCUUACCAAGUCUNGACAUCCCUNNNACCGGUCCGUAACGGGACCUUUCNUUCGGGACAGAGGAGACAGGUGGUGCAUGGUUGUCGUCAGCUCGUGUCGUGAGAUGUUGGGUUAAGUCCCGCAACGAGCGCAACCCCUAUUUCCAGUACCCACCAGUAAAAUGGGCACUCUGGAAAAACUGCCGGGGAUAACCCGGAGGAAGGGGGGGAUGACGUCAAAUCAUCAUGCCCCUUAUGAUUUGGGCUACACACGUGCUACAAUGGCAGUUACAAAGAAAAGCGAAACCGUGAGGUGGAGCAAACCUCAAAAAGGCUGUCUCAGUUCGGAUUGUAGUCUGCAACUCGACUACUUGAAGCUGGAAUCGCUAGUAAUCGCAAAUCAAAAUGUCGCGGUGAAUACUUUCCCGGGAA